RNAcentral lists this ribosomal RNA (2902 nucleotides) under Escherichia coli BIDMC 37. RNAcentral's name for it is "bacterial LSU rRNA". It matches the Rfam family "Bacterial large subunit ribosomal RNA". The record is from RNAcentral. Lineage: Bacteria; Pseudomonadati; Pseudomonadota; Gammaproteobacteria; Enterobacterales; Enterobacteriaceae.
UUAAGCGACUAAGCGUACACGGUGGAUGCCCUGGCAGUCAGAGGCGAUGAAGGACGUGCUAAUCUGCGAUAAGCGUCGGUAAGGUGAUAUGAACCGUUAUAACCGGCGAUUUCCGAAUGGGGAAACCCAGUGUGUUUCGACACACUAUCAUUAACUGAAUCCAUAGGUUAAUGAGGCGAACCGGGGGAACUGAAACAUCUAAGUACCCCGAGGAAAAGAAAUCAACCGAGAUUCCCCCAGUAGCGGCGAGCGAACGGGGAGCAGCCCAGAGCCUGAAUCAGUGUGUGUGUUAGUGGAAGCGUCUGGAAAGGCGCGCGAUACAGGGUGACAGCCCCGUACACAAAAAUGCACAUGCUGUGAGCUCGAUGAGUAGGGCGGGACACGUGGUAUCCUGUCUGAAUAUGGGGGGACCAUCCUCCAAGGCUAAAUACUCCUGACUGACCGAUAGUGAACCAGUACCGUGAGGGAAAGGCGAAAAGAACCCCGGCGAGGGGAGUGAAAAAGAACCUGAAACCGUGUACGUACAAGCAGUGGGAGCACGCUUAGGCGUGUGACUGCGUACCUUUUGUAUAAUGGGUCAGCGACUUAUAUUCUGUAGCAAGGUUAACCGAAUAGGGGAGCCGAAGGGAAACCGAGUCUUAACUGGGCGUUAAGUUGCAGGGUAUAGACCCGAAACCCGGUGAUCUAGCCAUGGGCAGGUUGAAGGUUGGGUAACACUAACUGGAGGACCGAACCGACUAAUGUUGAAAAAUUAGCGGAUGACUUGUGGCUGGGGGUGAAAGGCCAAUCAAACCGGGAGAUAGCUGGUUCUCCCCGAAAGCUAUUUAGGUAGCGCCUCGUGAAUUCAUCUCCGGGGGUAGAGCACUGUUUCGGCAAGGGGGUCAUCCCGACUUACCAACCCGAUGCAAACUGCGAAUACCGGAGAAUGUUAUCACGGGAGACACACGGCGGGUGCUAACGUCCGUCGUGAAGAGGGAAACAACCCAGACCGCCAGCUAAGGUCCCAAAGUCAUGGUUAAGUGGGAAACGAUGUGGGAAGGCCCAGACAGCCAGGAUGUUGGCUUAGAAGCAGCCAUCAUUUAAAGAAAGCGUAAUAGCUCACUGGUCGAGUCGGCCUGCGCGGAAGAUGUAACGGGGCUAAACCAUGCACCGAAGCUGCGGCAGCGACGCUUAUGCGUUGUUGGGUAGGGGAGCGUUCUGUAAGCCUGUGAAGGUGUGCUGUGAGGCAUGCUGGAGGUAUCAGAAGUGCGAAUGCUGACAUAAGUAACGAUAAAGCGGGUGAAAAGCCCGCUCGCCGGAAGACCAAGGGUUCCUGUCCAACGUUAAUCGGGGCAGGGUGAGUCGACCCCUAAGGCGAGGCCGAAAGGCGUAGUCGAUGGGAAACAGGUUAAUAUUCCUGUACUUGGUGUUACUGCGAAGGGGGGACGGAGAAGGCUAUGUUGACCGGGCGACGGUUGUCCCGGUUUAAGCGUGUAGGCUGGUUUUCCAGGCAAAUCCGGAAAAUCAAGGCUGAGGCGUGAUGACGAGGCACUACGGUGCUGAAGCAACAAAUGCCCUGCUUCCAGGAAAAGCCUCUAAGCAUCAGGUAACAUCAAAUCGUACCCCAAACCGACACAGGUGGUCAGGUAGAGAAUACCAAGGCGCUUGAGAGAACUCGGGUGAAGGAACUAGGCAAAAUGGUGCCGUAACUUCGGGAGAAGGCACGCUGAUAUGUAGGUGAGGUCCCUCGCGGAUGGAGCUGAAAUCAGUCGAAGAUACCAGCUGGCUGCAACUGUUUAUUAAAAACACAGCACUGUGCAAACACGAAAGUGGACGUAUACGGUGUGACGCCUGCCCGGUGCCGGAAGGUUAAUUGAUGGGGUCAGCGCAAGCGAAGCUCUUGAUCGAAGCCCCGGUAAACGGCGGCCGUAACUAUAACGGUCCUAAGGUAGCGAAAUUCCUUGUCGGGUAAGUUCCGACCUGCACGAAUGGCGUAAUGAUGGCCAGGCUGUCUCCACCCGAGACUCAGUGAAAUUGAACUCGCUGUGAAGAUGCAGUGUACCCGCGGCAAGACGGAAAGACCCCGUGAACCUUUACUAUAGCUUGACACUGAACAUUGAGCCUUGAUGUGUAGGAUAGGUGGGAGGCUUAGAAGUGUGGACGCCAGUCUGCAUGGAGCCGACCUUGAAAUACCACCCUUUAAUGUUUGAUGUUCUAACGUUGACCCGUAAUCCGGGUUGCGGACAGUGUCUGGUGGGUAGUUUGACUGGGGCGGUCUCCUCCUAAAGAGUAACGGAGGAGCACGAAGGUUGGCUAAUCCUGGUCGGACAUCAGGAGGUUAGUGCAAUGGCAUAAGCCAGCUUGACUGCGAGCGUGACGGCGCGAGCAGGUGCGAAAGCAGGUCAUAGUGAUCCGGUGGUUCUGAAUGGAAGGGCCAUCGCUCAACGGAUAAAAGGUACUCCGGGGAUAACAGGCUGAUACCGCCCAAGAGUUCAUAUCGACGGCGGUGUUUGGCACCUCGAUGUCGGCUCAUCACAUCCUGGGGCUGAAGUAGGUCCCAAGGGUAUGGCUGUUCGCCAUUUAAAGUGGUACGCGAGCUGGGUUUAGAACGUCGUGAGACAGUUCGGUCCCUAUCUGCCGUGGGCGCUGGAGAACUGAGGGGGGCUGCUCCUAGUACGAGAGGACCGGAGUGGACGCAUCACUGGUGUUCGGGUUGUCAUGCCAAUGGCACUGCCCGGUAGCUAAAUGCGGAAGAGAUAAGUGCUGAAAGCAUCUAAGCACGAAACUUGCCCCGAGAUGAGUUCUCCCUGACUCCUUGAGAGUCCUGAAGGAACGUUGAAGACGACGACGUUGAUAGGCCGGGUGUGUAAGCGCAGCGAUGCGUUGAGCUAACCGGUACUAAUGAACCGUGAGGCUUAACCUU